This 411-nucleotide ribosomal RNA is filed under the name uncultured bacterium. Its description in RNAcentral is "partial 16S ribosomal RNA". It matches the Rfam family "Bacterial small subunit ribosomal RNA", at positions 355 to 758 of the family's 1533-position model. The record is from RNAcentral.
UGGGGAAUUUUGGACAAUGGGCGAAAGCCUGAUCCAGCAAUGCCGCGUGUGUGAAGAAGGCCUUCGGGUUGUAAAGCACUUUUGUCCGGAAAGAAAUCCUUGGCUCUAAUACAGUCGGGGGAUGACGGUACCGGAAGAAUAAGCACCGGCUAACUACGUGCCAGCAGCCGCGGUAAUACGUAGGGUGCAAGCGUUAAUCGGAGUUACUGGGCGUAAAGCGUGCGCAGGCGGUUUGCUAAGACCGAUGUGAAAUCCCCGGGCUCAACCUGGGAACUGCAUUGGUGACUGGCAGGCUAGAGUAUGGCAGAGGGGGGUAGAAUUCCACGUGUAGCAGUGAAAUGCGUAGAGAUGUGGAGGAAUACCGAUGGCGAAGGCAGCCCCCUGGGCCAAUACUGACGCUCAUGCACGAAA